CCGACGGGUGAGUAACACGUAUCCAACCUGCCGUCUACUCUUGGACAGCCUUCUGAAGGAAGAUUAAUACAAGAUGGCAUCAUGAGUCCGCAUGUUCACAUGAUUAAAGGUAUUCCGGUAGACGAUGGGGAUGCGUUCCAUUAGAUAGUAGGCGGGGUAACGGCCCACCAAGCUCGAUGGAUAGGGGUUCUGAGAGGAAGGUCCCCCACAUUGGAACUGAGACACGGUCCAA
This 232-nucleotide ribosomal RNA is filed under the name uncultured bacterium. Its description in RNAcentral is "partial 16S ribosomal RNA". It matches the Rfam family "Bacterial small subunit ribosomal RNA", at positions 102 to 334 of the family's 1533-position model. The record is from RNAcentral.